RNAcentral lists this ribosomal RNA (279 nucleotides) under uncultured bacterium. RNAcentral describes it as "partial 16S ribosomal RNA". It matches the Rfam family "Bacterial small subunit ribosomal RNA", at positions 506 to 784 of the family's 1533-position model. The record is from RNAcentral.
UGCCAGCAGCCGCGGUAAUACAGAGGUCUCAAGCGUUGUUCGGAUUCAUUGGGCGUAAAGGGUGCGUAGGCGGCGGGGUAAGUCGGAUGUGAAAUCCCGGGGCUCAACCCCGGAACUGCAUUCGAUACUGCCUUGCUAGAGUACUGGAGAGGAGACUGGAAUUUACGGUGUAGCAGUGAAAUGCGUAGAUAUCGUAAGGAAGACCAGUGGCGAAGGCGAGUCUCUGGACAGUUACUGACGCUGAGGCACGAAGGCCAGGGGAGCAAACGGGAUUAGAUA